GGUUGCGUUAUCGGGACCGAGUACAAAACCAAACUCGCAGGAGCAAGUUUUUUCAUUGUUAGCUGUCAGGAUGCAUUGUUGUGUGCAACGGUCCGUGGGCGUGCACUCUCUUUUCGUCGGACAAUCUACUUCAUCUGAAAAAACAGUGGCAUCGGACAGUCGGGAAAUCCGUCGCAAACGUGCUUUUUGCUGAUACAAUAAGGAUGAAAAUGAUGAGUCAUGGCAUGGGAAGGUCCAGCGAUGGAGAUAGUGUCGUUUCCCACCGAGGGUAUCGCUUUGCACAAAUACUGCGUGACAUCGCAACUGAAAGCGCACAGUUCCUCGUCGUCCCCAUUCGGACAAUCCAUCACACCGUCGCAGACCCAGUGGUACUCGUCGGUUGGGGAACAUGGCUUCGGAGUGAGGUUCUUGCAGGGUGCCAUUUCGUCCUCGCCGUUCGGACAGUCUGAUUUCCCGUCACACAUCUUGCUCUCACUGAUGCAUUCCCCAUUGGCGCAUCUUGAAUUCAAUUAAACGUGAAAGAAAAUAUAAUUUCUUGAGGAUUUCCAAAAUCGGCCGAAUCCUGCAAUGUCGAUGAAUGUUCGAUUUUUAAUCGUUUCAAUUUGCUCGUUUAUUUGUACUCGGAUUGCAGAAUCUUCUCGGUCUUUUUGAAACCUUUCGCUGUAGCUCGCGAUGUCCAUUCUACAAAGUUAGGGUAAGAAAUUCGAUGACACGAAACAAUUUCUUGUCGAAUUAACAAAUCGAGACGAGCAAAUGAAAUUUAUUGGUUUAACCAAAGUUUCGUUGGUUCAACGAUGCUCUCCGUCGCAGUAGGAAAUCGUCAUUGAAUAAGUCAAAGAAUUCUGGAGUGGGCGAAUAAACCGAAUUUUUUAUUGGGUCGACGAAUUUCAUUUUACACGCCACGAUUAAUCGAUCCUAAUUGACUGAAUUUCGGUCUUGAUGGCCUUUGGUACGGUCUACUGGUCUUCGUACCAAAGAAAGGGACAUCGGCGUCGAACACGAAUCGUGACAGGGACCAGCGGAGACGUACGAUGAAGUGGAAUAAAUGAAAAAACUAGC
This is a long non-coding RNA of Venturia canescens, 1059 nucleotides long. RefSeq lists it as uncharacterized. The transcript is spliced from 3 exons. NCBI's taxonomy places the organism in Eukaryota, Metazoa, Arthropoda, Insecta, Hymenoptera, Ichneumonidae. The record is from RefSeq and is a predicted model, not a curated record.